Octopus bimaculoides (California two-spot octopus) is the source of this 612-nucleotide long non-coding RNA. RefSeq lists it as uncharacterized. NCBI's taxonomy places the organism in Eukaryota, Metazoa, Mollusca, Cephalopoda, Octopoda, Octopodidae. The record is from RefSeq and is a predicted model, not a curated record.
CAAAUUAGCUAUGUGGCACUGUAUGAGCUUUUUUUUUUGUUGGAUUUGCUUUGUGUGUGUGUGUUUUCCGUUCAUCUUGCUGUGGAGGUCAUUGCCAAGAUGCACUUUAAAUUUAAUCAAACCGCGGGAGUGAACUCCCGAAAUGGUCAUAGGUGUGUUUGAAUUUACUUUGUGGAAUUAUUUUUGCUCCUGGACUCUUACCUACCUUGAUUUUAAGAAUUGAACUAUUUGGACGUACUCUUGUGAGAGGUGAAGUAUGGCGCUGUGGACGAUAUAGCAUCGUGCAUUUGCCUACGACAGUUACGUGAAGAAUUACGAGUAUGUCAAAGCAAUUCAGCGUGAAUUUCGGCGCCAUUUCAACACUCACCGAAAUCAGGCUGUUCCCACCCUUAACACAAUCUUACGUUGGGUGAAUGCACUUCGUACACGGGGUACACUAAUGAACGGAAGACCGGUGGGGGUGCUACGACCGGUACGGAUCCCAGAAAAUGUGGAACGUGUCGGACAAGCUUUGAUACGGAGUUCGAAUCGCUCUGCAUUGAUGGGGUGACGGCCCACACAGCCAGAGUAUCAAUGUACGCUCUUCGCCCUCUUUGGUGACCGCCACAUUUC